UACGAAGGGGGCUAGCGUUGCUCGGAAUUACUGGGCGUAAAGGGCGCGUAGGCGGCCAUCUAAGUCAGACGUGAAAUCCCUCGGCUCAACCGAGGAACUGCGUCUGAUACUGGAAGGCUUGAAUCCGGGAGAGGGAUGUGGAAUUCCAGGUGUAGCGGUGAAAUGCGUAGAGAUUUGGAGGAACACCAGUGGCGAAGGCGACUUUCUGGUCUGUAACUGACGCUGAGGCGCGAAAGCGUGGGGAGCAGACAGG
This 253-nucleotide ribosomal RNA is filed under the name uncultured bacterium. RNAcentral's name for it is "partial 16S ribosomal RNA". It matches the Rfam family "Bacterial small subunit ribosomal RNA", at positions 524 to 776 of the family's 1533-position model. The record is from RNAcentral.